RNAcentral lists this ribosomal RNA (472 nucleotides) under uncultured bacterium. RNAcentral's name for it is "bacterial SSU rRNA". It matches the Rfam family "Bacterial small subunit ribosomal RNA", at positions 33 to 518 of the family's 1533-position model. The record is from RNAcentral.
ACGCUGGCGGCACGCUUAACACAUGCAAGUCGAACGGAGUUUAAAGAGCUUGCUUUUUAAACUUAGUGGCGGACGGGUGAGUAACACGUGAGCAAUCUGCCUUUCAGAGGGGGAUAGCAGUUGGAAACGACUGAUAAUACCGCAUAAUAUAACGAAGCCGCAUGACUUUGUUAUCAAAGAUUUUUAUCGCUGAAAGAUGAGCUCGCGUCUGAUUAGGUAGUUGGUGAGGUAACGGCUCACCAAGCCGACGAUCAGUAGCCGGACUGAGAGGUUGAACGGCCACAUUGGGACUGAGACACGGCCCAGACUCCUACGGGAGGCAGCAGUGGGGAAUAUUGCACAAUGGGCGCAAGCCUGAUGCAGCGAUGCCGCGUGAGGGAAGAAGGUUUUAGGAUUGUAAACCUCUGUCCUAUGGAAAGAUAAUGACGGUACCAUAGGAGGAAGCUCCGGCUAACUACGUGCCAGCCGCCGC